Engraulis encrasicolus (European anchovy) is the source of this 1243-nucleotide long non-coding RNA. RefSeq lists it as uncharacterized. Lineage: Eukaryota; Metazoa; Chordata; Actinopteri; Clupeiformes; Engraulidae. The transcript has 3 exons. The record is from RefSeq and is a predicted model, not a curated record.
UGGAGUGGGGUGGGUUUUUGGGGCAACAGGAGUACCACGUCGGCCCCGGCCGGCGCUUGCAACUUCAAAGCUCUGCGGGGACCCCAACAGUCCUCCUCGCCGGGGCUUCGGUAUCAGUAACAUCUCUGUUGUUUUUUGUUUUCCCGAUGCUCCUCCCGCUGCAGUUUUCCCCUGUUAUGGUUAUCACGGGGGGAGCCGCUGGUCCCACCAAGACUCCCCUCUCUGUCCGGCUGCCCAGGUGUUUUUGAUGGAAACAUCUUAAGAGGGCCUGCUGAUGAAAGCUUCCAAAACCAGCUCAAUUUGUACAAGCCAAAAGGACGGAGUGUCUCCUCCUCUCUUAAACCCCCCCUCCCCAAGCACUUACGGCCAUGUAAAUACUGUAAGAAGAACCUCUGCAAGCUCUGGUUGCUGGAAUGCAUGCAUGACAUGACUUGGAAAGGACCUGCAGUGGAGAUGAAUUAGGGGUGGGCGAUAUGACGAUAUUAUAUCGUGAAUCGCGAUAUUGAGUAAAAUAUCGUCUCGAAUCUGCCAAAGUGGAGAAAUCGUAUAGAUCGUCUUGCAGUGAAGAUGUUUAUUAUCAGUAUCAGAGUGACGUUUUCUCACUUGUGUUGUUGUCUUCACUUUAUUCUUUACAUUAUUGUAUUCCACUUGUACACUUUAUGAGAGUAUCAUCAGUGUGUUAACAUUUUAUUGACUGCAAAUUACAAAUUGCAAGUAUAUGAAAGUUGUUUUUUGUUGUUUUUAUUUUUUGGAUGGAAGAUCGUGAUAAAAAAUCGAUAUCGUGAUUUCAUGUUAAAGAAUCGUGAUACAACAUUUUUGCCAUAUCGCCCACCCCUAAGAUGAAUUUCUAUUGUUGAGGAUUUGCAACUGAGAAACAUCCUAUAAAAGCUUGUGCACGACCCAGAAAUUCGACACAGGAAUCCAGUCUUUUGCAGUUUAUCAUGCUAUUAUAAACACAGUAUUCUACAAUGCAAGGUUUGUGUGGACAUUGUUCUUCUAUUUCCUGAGGUGAACUUUAUGUGGUAUGGCAUGCCUGUGCUCUGAGGGAAUUGAAUAGCUGGCAUAUCUGAUAGAGCGAGAUGGCAAUGGGCUAUCGUCUGUCAAACUCCACACCGUGACUUUGUCCCUGCUUCCCAUCUUUGAUGUGUACAGUAUUGAUUGUGAAGGAAAUGAGUAGUCACCGAAAGCAUUCAGAGGUUUCUCUUGUGGUUUUGUGCAGACAUGGCAGCACUGUAAACCAAUC